AUGUAGAUGAAGAGUCCUAAAUAGGACGAAAUGCUCAUCGAGCUGGAU
This 48-nucleotide non-coding RNA is filed under the name Trichobilharzia regenti. Lineage: Eukaryota; Metazoa; Platyhelminthes; Trematoda; Strigeidida; Schistosomatidae. The record is from RNAcentral.